This 301-nucleotide ribosomal RNA is filed under the name uncultured bacterium. RNAcentral's name for it is "partial 16S ribosomal RNA". It matches the Rfam family "Bacterial small subunit ribosomal RNA", at positions 509 to 809 of the family's 1533-position model. The record is from RNAcentral.
CAGUAGCCACGGUAAAACGGAGGGUGCGAGCGUUGUCCGGAUUUAUUGGGUUUAAAGGGUGCGUAGGUGGCUUUUUAAGUCAGUGGUGAAAUACGGUUGCUCAACAAUCGAGGUGCAAUUGAUACUGAAGAGCUUGAAAUAAUUGGAGGCUGCCGGAAUGGAUGGUGUAGCGGUGAAAUGCAUAGAUAUCAUCCAGAACACCGAUUGCGAAGGCAGGUGGCUACGAUUUGUUUGACACUGAGGCACGAAAGCAUGGGGAGCAAACAGGAUUAGAUACCCGCGUAGUCCCUGUCUCUUAUAA